Molecule: ribosomal RNA, 839 nt
Filed under: Streptacidiphilus sp.
Lineage: Bacteria; Bacillati; Actinomycetota; Actinomycetes; Kitasatosporales; Streptomycetaceae
Description: bacterial SSU rRNA
Rfam family: Bacterial small subunit ribosomal RNA
Source: RNAcentral
AGUUUCCUGCUCAGGACGAACGCUGGCGGCGUGCUUAACACAUGCAAGUCGAACGGUGAAGCCCUUCGGGGUGGAUCAGUGGCGAACGGGUGAGUAACACGUGGGCAAUCUGCCCUGCACUCUGGGACAAGCCUUGGAAACGAGGUCUAAUACCGGAUACGACCCUUGAGCGCAUGCUCUUGGGUGGAAAGCUCCGGCGGUGCAGGAUGAGCCCGCGGCCUAUCAGCUUGUUGGUGGGGUGAUGGCCUACCAAGGCGACGACGGGUAGCCGGCCUGAGAGGGCGACCGGCCACACUGGGACUGAGACACGGCCCAGACUCCUACGGGAGGCAGCAGUGGGGAAUAUUGCACAAUGGGCGAAAGCCUGAUGCAGCGACGCCGCGUGAGGGAUGAAGGCCUUCGGGUUGUAAACCUCUUUCAGCAGGGAAGAAGCGCAAGUGACGGUACCUGCAGAAGAAGCACCGGCUAACUACGUGCCAGCAGCCGCGGUAAUACGUAGGGUGCGAGCGUUGUCCGGAAUUAUUGGGCGUAAAGAGCUCGUAGGCGGCUUGUCACGUCGGAUGUGAAAGCCCGGGGCUUAACCCCGGGUCUGCAUUCGAUACGGGCAGGCUAGAGUGUGGUAGGGGAGAUCGGAAUUCCUGGUGUAGCGGUGAAAUGCGCAGAUAUCAGGAGGAACACCGGUGGCGAAGGCGGAUCUCUGGGCCAUUACUGACGCUGAGGAGCGAAAGCGUGGGGAGCGAACAGGAUUAGAUACCCUGGUAGUCCACGCCGUAAACGUUGGGCACUAGGUGUGGGCGACAUUCCACGUCGUCCGCGCCGCAGCUAACGCAUAAGUGCCC